This 64-nucleotide transfer RNA is filed under the name Isichthys henryi. Its description in RNAcentral is "tRNA-Cys". It matches the Rfam family "tRNA". From Rfam's summary of the family: Transfer RNA (tRNA) molecules are approximately 80 nucleotides in length. Their secondary structure includes four short double-helical elements and three loops (D, anti-codon, and T loops). The record is from RNAcentral. Lineage: Eukaryota; Metazoa; Chordata; Actinopteri; Osteoglossiformes; Mormyridae.
AGUCUUGUGGUGUAACACGUCAGAUUGCAAAUCUGAAGAUGCAGGCUCAUACCUGCCGGGGCUU